This 1823-nucleotide long non-coding RNA is filed under the name Cottoperca gobio. RNAcentral's name for it is "lncRNA (ENSCGOG00000010785.1)". The record is from RNAcentral. Lineage: Eukaryota; Metazoa; Chordata; Actinopteri; Perciformes; Bovichtidae.
UCCAAUUCCACAAACAAUAGAAGAAUACUGGGUCUUUUACACUUAGGUAGACAAGGCAAGAUUAGUUUCAUAGAGGCUUUAAAUAAAGAAUUAGUAAAUGUAAAGCUCCCAAAAGCAUGCAUUAACCUCAAUACAAACAUCUAUAUAUUCCAAAAUGUGUUAUUUCUAUCUGCUAUAAAGGUGUGUACAGUAGCACUUGCUGAAUUUCUUUAUUUAGAUCUGACCCCAGAGCCACCAUCUGUCCCCCUCCAUGCCAGGAGAGUGCGUACUGUUCUAACACUGCCCCUGCUGUUAUCAAAGAGGCCUGCUCUGCACGGCCAAGUCCCUGCCUGGACCUCUGACAGGGUGACGACAACAUAUCUCACUGACGUAGCACUACUGGCUCAGUUGGGUCCUCUCCCUUGUACCACCCCGUGACAGAACGAUCCGACCAAAGUAUGGACCCAGCAGAGAUUUUGGGUGACGAACUGUAUGAUCUUGCAUACACUCUAAUGUGUCUCCAUGGGGAGUGGAAAAGAGCCCCCUGUUCGUAGCUUCAACAGGGGGCUUUAGGCUUGUCUCAAGAGAAAAUGGCUGAGAAGCCCGAGCUAAAGAGUCUUUUGCCUGAGUGGCUUCAGGUAUUUUUGAAUCUACCACAUUGCUCGCCGUGUCCUUAGUCAACCUCUGGGCAUCGAGAUAUCUCGUAUUCUGAGGCCAUGAUGCAACAGCCUCUGGUUCCUGCUGCCGGGCCGCGACAGACCCCCGUUCAAGCUGCUGCCGGACCUCUGCAGACCUCUGCAGACCCCAGCUGUCCCCCCUUUGCUUCUCGAGACCCCUGUGCUUCCCUCACCUCUCGAUACCCCAGUCCGUGCGUUCCCAUCGCCUUUUGAGAUCCUGUGCUCCCUUCGCCUCUCGAGACCCCAGUGCUCCCUUUGCUUCUCCGCCCGUCCUCCUGACCGGCUGACCUGAUGAAACCAUCAGCAGGACAUUUGAAAACAUAAAUGUGUGUUAAAGUCAGAUUAGGCACAAAUAAGACUUGGUUAGUUUUAGAGAAAGAUUGUGGUUUUGGGUGAAAAUAAGUGAUAAUAAAUGUGAUUAUUGAAUAAUAUCUGGUGGUAUUGUUGAGCAGUUUAUAUAGUAAAUGAUCUUUAUGUUGUUCCAAGAGUUUGUAAAAAUGCAGCCGUCACUUUAAAGCUGUAGUUAUCAGCUGGUACUAAAAUGUAUCUUCUAUGUGUUCUGUGCUGCUGCUGUGCAGAAUAAAACCUUCACACUGCUGCCCUCUAGUGUCUGCAACAACACACUGUUUCAUCCUGUGCUGCUGCUUUCACUGCUACAACUGUUCCUAUUAGUUUAGUUUCAAGUUUUAUUUGUCAAAUGUAGGUUAACACAGGGUCAACGGUACAAUGAAAUGUGUGCGAGAGAGACAGCAUGUCAGCUCAGCAAAAUUAAGUGAUAUAUAUUUUUUACAAUCUUUUAAAAUAAGUACUAUAUACAAUUGAGUUAAACAACAACAAAAAAAAAACUUAUGUACAUAUAUGAAGAAAAAAGGGGGGUUGUGCAGUACAAUAAAUAAUAAUAUUUACUUAUAUUUAUUUAGUGCAGACAGUGAGAGUCUGUGUCUGUGGGUCUGGAGGUUGAGAAGCCUGAUGGCUUGGUGGUAAAAAUUGUCCUUGAGUCUGAUGGUGCGGCCAGGUUCCGGUAUCGUCUGCCUGACGGUAACAAGGAGAACAGUCUGCUGGGUGGCUGUGGUCCUUUAUGAUGCUGGGUGCCUUCCGGAGGCACCGCUGGUGGAAAAUGUCCUGAAUGGCCGGGAGACUGUUGCCAAUGGUGAGCUGUGCUGCCUC